This is a transfer RNA of Loxodonta africana (African savanna elephant), 71 nucleotides long. It matches the Rfam family "tRNA". From Rfam's summary of the family: Transfer RNA (tRNA) molecules are approximately 80 nucleotides in length. The record is from Rfam. NCBI's taxonomy places the organism in Eukaryota, Metazoa, Chordata, Mammalia, Proboscidea, Elephantidae.
GCAUUGAUGGUUGAGUGGUAGAAUUCUCACCUUUCAUAUGGGAGACCCAGGUUCAAUUCCCAGCCAAUGCA